CUCCGACUGGGGGGCCGCCUGCCCCGCGCUCCACUGCCCACGUCGCCAGGUUCCCCGAGGUCCUCUGCCCAGCUGGAUCUGUAUUACGCUAUCUUCUACAGCCGCAAUCGAUCCCAUAGCCUGAUAAUGCGUGUUGCCGCGUGACUCUGGUCCAAGAAAAAGUUCGGUAUUUAAAGAUCUCCAUCUCACACUUUUUGAUGACGAGUCUGUCACCAAAAAUGAUCCUGAAGAGGGAGUUGACGAGUUAAGACAUCUGUGAAGAUAGCCCAGUCAUGUGAAAGUGCCUUCAAAUGCUAACGGACCGUCAGACAGAGAGAACGACCUGCGUCGCGAUAUGCCGAAGAGAAAGGGUUCAAACUCCAACCCCACACACUGUACUAUAGCAGUCUUUUCGUAUAGUGGGUUCAAUGGGGUGUAGAUGGAUGCUGAAAGAAGAAUCAAGUGAGAUUGUGUCGCACUAGUGAGAUAAGGGUAUUAGAAGUUGAUAUGGUUAAAGGUCCCUACAUAACUGCUUUUAAGGUAGUGAAUACUCAGUGUACUGGAUCCAGGCAUCACUGGCAGUCCAAAUCACAA
This is a non-coding RNA of Physcomitrium patens, 573 nucleotides long. NCBI's taxonomy places the organism in Eukaryota, Viridiplantae, Streptophyta, Bryopsida, Funariales, Funariaceae. The record is from RefSeq and is a predicted model, not a curated record.